Molecule: ribosomal RNA, 615 nt
Filed under: uncultured bacterium
Lineage: Bacteria
Description: bacterial SSU rRNA
Rfam family: Bacterial small subunit ribosomal RNA
Source: RNAcentral
CUAACACAUGCAGUCGAGCGCCCGCAAGGGGAGCGGCGGACGGGUGAGUAACGCGUGGGAACGUACCCUUUGCUACGGAAUAGCCUCGGGAAACUGGGAGUAAUACCGUAUGUGCCCUUCGGGGGAAAGAUUUAUCGGCAAAGGAUCGGCCCGCGUUGGAUUAGGUAGUUGGUGGGGUAAUGGCCUACCAAGCCGACGAUCCAUAGCUGGUUUGAGAGGAUGAUCAGCCACACUGGGACUGAGACACGGCCCAGACUCCUACGGGAGGCAGCAGUGGGGAAUCUUAGACAAUGGGCGCAAGCCUGAUCUAGCCAUGCCGCGUGAUCGAUGAAGGCCUUAGGGUUGUAAAGAUCUUUCAGUGGGGAAGAUAAUGACUGUACCCACAGAAGAAGCCCCGGCUAACUCCGUGCCAGCAGCCGCGGUAAUACGGAGGGGGCUAGCGUUGUUCGGAAUUACUGGGCGUAAAGCGCACGUAGGCGGACAGAGAAGUCAGAGGUGAAAUCCCAGGGCUCAACCUUGGAACUGCCUUUGAAACUUUUUGUCUUGAGGUCGAGAGAGGUGAGUGGAAUUCCGAGUGUAGAGGUGAAAUUCGUAGAUAUUCGGAGGAACACCAGU